RNAcentral lists this ribosomal RNA (460 nucleotides) under uncultured bacterium. Its description in RNAcentral is "partial 16S ribosomal RNA". It matches the Rfam family "Bacterial small subunit ribosomal RNA", at positions 338 to 795 of the family's 1533-position model. The record is from RNAcentral.
CCUACGGGAGGCAGCAGUGAGGAAUAUUGGUCAAUGGGCGCUAGCCUGAACCAGCCAAGUAGCGUGAAGGAUGACUGUCCUAUGGGUUGUAAACUUCUUUUAUCUGGGAACAAAGUGCACUAUGUAUACUCCUAUGCAUGUACCUUAUGAAUAAGGAUCGGCUAACUCCGUGCCAGCAGCCGCGGUAAUACGGAGGAUCCGAGCGUUAUCCGGAUUUAUUGGGUUUAAAGGGUGCGUAGGCGGGUUGGUAAGUCAGUUGUCAAAGUCUGCGGCUCAACCGUAACAUUGCAGUUGAUACUGGCAGCCUUGAGUACAGUAGAGGUAGGCGGAAUGCGUGGUGUAGCGGUGAAAUGCUUAGAUAUCACGAAGAACUCCGAUUGCGAAGGCAGCCUGCUGGACUGUAACUGACGCUGAUGCACGAAAGUGUGGGUAUCAAACAGGAUUAGAUACCCUAGUAGUC